AUACGGAGGGUGCAAGCGUUGUCCGGAUUUAUUGGGUUUAAAGGGUGCGCAGGCGGUGCGUUAAGUCAGUGGUGAAAUCUUCCGGCUCAACCGGGAAACUGCCAUUGAUACUGGCGCACUUGAGUACGGACGAGGUAGGCGGAAUUUAUGGUGUAGCGGUGAAAUGCAUAGAUACCAUAAAGAACACCGAUAGCGAAGGCAGCUUACCAGACCGUAACUGACGCUCAGGCACGAAAGCGUGCGGAGCAAACAGGAUUAGAAACCCCAGUAGUCC
This 274-nucleotide ribosomal RNA is filed under the name uncultured bacterium. Its description in RNAcentral is "partial 16S ribosomal RNA". It matches the Rfam family "Bacterial small subunit ribosomal RNA", at positions 523 to 796 of the family's 1533-position model. The record is from RNAcentral.